Alteromonas sp. RW2A1 is the source of this 105-nucleotide non-coding RNA. The record is from Rfam. NCBI's taxonomy places the organism in Bacteria, Pseudomonadati, Pseudomonadota, Gammaproteobacteria, Alteromonadales, Alteromonadaceae.
CCGUUCUGCUGAAUUAGUGAUCGGCGGGACAUAAUUUAGGAGAAUGUUAUGUCACUAACUAAAGAACAAACUGCAAAAAUCAUUGCUGAGUACGGCGUUAAAGAA